RNAcentral lists this ribosomal RNA (445 nucleotides) under uncultured bacterium. Its description in RNAcentral is "bacterial SSU rRNA". It matches the Rfam family "Bacterial small subunit ribosomal RNA", at positions 330 to 792 of the family's 1533-position model. The record is from RNAcentral.
ACCAGACUCCUACGGGAGGCAGCAGUGGGGGAUAUUGCACAAUGGGGGAAACCCUGAUGCAGCAACGCCGCGUGAGUGAAGAAGUAUUUCGGUAUGUAAAGCUCUAUCAGCAGGGAAGAGAAUGACGGUACCUGACUAAGAAGCCCCGGCUAACUACGUGCCAGCAGCCGCGGUAAUACGUAGGGGGCGAGCGUUAUCCGGAUUUACUGGGUGUAAAGGGAGCGUAGACGGCUGGUCAAGUCUGAAGUGAAAGCCCGGGGCUUAACCCCGGAACGGCUUUGGAAACUGAGCAGCUAGAGUGCUGGAGAGGUAAGCGGAAUUCCUAGUGUAGCGGUGAAAUGCGUAGAUAUUAGGAGGAACACCAGUGGCGAAGGCGGCUUACUGGACAGUAACUGACGUUGAGGCUCGAAAGCGCGGGGAGCAAACAGGAUUAGAUACCCCUGUA